This 891-nucleotide ribosomal RNA is filed under the name Aphelenchoides blastophthorus. RNAcentral's name for it is "bacterial SSU rRNA". It matches the Rfam family "Eukaryotic small subunit ribosomal RNA", at positions 39 to 966 of the family's 1831-position model. The record is from RNAcentral. Lineage: Eukaryota; Metazoa; Nematoda; Chromadorea; Rhabditida; Aphelenchoididae.
AAAGAUUAAGCCAUGCAUGUGUAAGUAGAGUUGAUAUAAAGCGAAACUGCGAACGGCUCAUUACAACAGAUAUAAUUUACUUGUUCUAUUCCUUUAAACGGAUAACUGCGGUAAUUCUGGAGCUAAUACGUGCACAUAAGUCGAAUUCAGCAAUGAGUUCGAUGCACUUAUCGGAGCAAAACCCUUCCUGGUUUUAUGCUAACUCUGGAUAAUAUUGCUUAUCGCACGAUUUUACAUCGGCGAAGUUACAUUCAAGUAUCUGCCUUAUCAACUUUCGAUGGUAGUGUAUUGGACUGCCAUGGUGUUGACGGGUAACGGAGAAUCAGGGUUCGACUCCGGAGAGGGAGCCUUAGAAACGGCUACCAUGUCUAAGGACAGCAGCAGGCGCGCAACUUAUCCACUGUUCAUUGAACGAGAUAGUGACGAGAAAUAACAAGUUCGUUCUCUUUGAGGUCGAGCAUUGGAAUGGAUGGAAUCUAAACAGUUCCAUGAGUACCUACGAGAGGGCAAGUCUGGUGCCAGCAGCCGCGGUAAUUCCAGCUCUCGUAAUGUAUAGAAUUAUUGUUGCGGUUAAAAAGUUCGUAGUUGGAUUUUCGACUGUCCAGGGGUCGGCCUUAACGGGACGUACUUCUGGCAGUGUUUGCAUUCGAUUUGGAAGCAAUUUCAGAUUGGAUGUGGAUUACUUUGAACGGCUUAAGUGCUCAAGGCGAGUCUUCGGACUGAAUACCGGUGCAUGGAAUAAUGGAACAAGGUCUCGGCCGAGUUUUAUUGGUUUUGUCGGCUAAGACAAUGGUUAACAGGAACAGCUGGGGGCACUCGUAUCGCUGCGCGAGAGGUGAAAUUCGUGGACCGUAGCGAGACGCCCUAAAGCGAAAGCAUUUGCCAAGAAUG